GAUCCUGGCUCAGAUUGAACGCUGGCGGCAGGCCUAACACAUGCAAGUCGAACGGUAACAGGAAACAGCUUGCUGUUUCGCUGACGAGUGGCGGACGGGUGAGUAAUGUCUGGGAAACUGCCUGAUGGAGGGGGAUAACUACUGGAAACGGUAGCUAAUACCGCAUAACGUCGCAAGACCAAAGAGGGGGGACCUUCGGGCCUCUUGCCAUCGGAUGUGCCCAGAUGGGAUUAGCUAGUAGGUGGGUAACGG
Molecule: ribosomal RNA, 252 nt
Filed under: uncultured bacterium
Lineage: Bacteria
Description: partial 16S ribosomal RNA
Rfam family: Bacterial small subunit ribosomal RNA
Source: RNAcentral